RNAcentral lists this ribosomal RNA (461 nucleotides) under uncultured bacterium. Its description in RNAcentral is "bacterial SSU rRNA". It matches the Rfam family "Bacterial small subunit ribosomal RNA", at positions 337 to 796 of the family's 1533-position model. The record is from RNAcentral.
UCCUACGGGAGGCAGCAGUGAGGAAUAUUGGUCAAUGGGCGAAAGCCUGAACCAGCCAAGUCGCGUGAAGGAUGAAGGUUCUAUGGAUUGUAAACUUCUUUUGUCUGAGGGUAAAAAAGCGGACGUGUCCGUUCUUGCAAGUAUCAGACGAAUAAGCGUCGGCUAACUCCGUGCCAGCAGCCGCGGUAAUACGGAGGAUGCGAGCGUUAUCCGGAUUUAUUGGGUUUAAAGGGUGCGUAGGCGGGUUAUUAAGUCAGUGGUGAAAGCGUGUGGCUCAACCAUACCAAGCCAUUGAAACUGGUGAUCUUGAGUGCAAACGAGGUAGGCGGAAUGUGACGUGUAGCGGUGAAAUGCUUAGAUAUGUCACAGAACCCCGAUUGCGAAGGCAGCUUACCAGCAUGCAACUGACGCUGAGGCACGAAAGCGUGGGUAUCAAACAGGAUUAGAUACCCUGGUAGUCC